CCAAACCAAGAACAAAGAAGAACAAAAGAAGAAAAGGAAGAGAACAAACCCUAGGUGGAAAAAUUCAAGGAAAAAGUGUGAAAAUUCAAGGAAACAAGUGAAAAAAAGGUAAAAUUUUUCAAUUUAGCUUGAGAUCUUUCUUUCCCAUGCAUUUCUCCUCAUUUUUCAUAGUUAAAUUACAUGUUUUCAUUAUGAAUUCAUGGCUGGUCGGAAUGGGUAUGGAGAGAGAAUGAUAUUAGAUUGAUUUGAUUUCAAGUUAUGUUAGUGUUUUUAGUUAGUUUACCAUGUCUAGAAGCAAAACAAUAAGAAAAGAAUCUAUUUUCCCCAUGAAUCUUCAUUGACCGAAUCUUCCUUGAUGUGUGUGGGUGAUGGAUUGUUAUUAUUUCAAGAGAAAUGGCUUAGAAAAUGAUGAAUAAUGGUGAGAAAAUUAAGUAGGAAAAAUCACGGUGUUAAUGCACCGUUAGUGACCGAAAAAUUUAAGAAGAAAAGUGAAGAUGGUUUUGCCAAUUUUAGGUUUUUUGACUUGUGUUUGGUGAAUUAAGGUAUUGGAAAAGAAAUGGAGCAAUUUGGAGCUAAUAUGGAUGCAUUGACCAAUUAAUCGGGUGAUAAGAUGAAUUAGGCCAAUACCGGGGAUUAGUUGGUUACCUGUGCAUUUUGAAUUCCAUAUCAUGCAUUAGUAGUCUAAAUUAGUUUAAUUUCGAUUUAGUACCAAAGUAGUAAGUUUCUCGAUUUUGUACUAUGUCAAGGUGGUGAGUCCUCCGAUAAAGGCAAGAAAAUUGCAUUCGAGGACCAAUAGUUAGAGUACUUCGAAAAUUCGUACUCUACACAUUGUGAGUAACCUUACUAUCGUCUUAAUUAUCUAAAGUAGUUUUUAUCCGAUUUUGUGAAUUUUAUGGAAAAUGAAUUAAAUGAUUAAUUUUUCAGUUUUAUAAACCAAAUGUGAUUUAGUGAAAUGAUUUCAUAAAAUUGUUUUGGAAUUGAAUGAUGAUUUUGAAAAUAGAGUAAAUGGAGACCCCUGAUGUGUUGUAAAUUUAUGAUCUGAAUUGAUGGCUUAGGUAAAUGUGUUGACAUGACUGGUUGGGUUAUGUUUUUGGUGAACUGUAUGAAUUGUUCUGUUUUACAUUUACAAGUUGGGUAGUAUAAUAUUAGUCACGUCAUGUUGUCAAAAUUUUAUUGUAUGGUGGGUAUUGCUUGCUGCAGUGGGCUAGGUUUUGUGGACUAGCCUAUUAGAGGGGCACCAAAUCCUGACAUAUUUUACCUCAGUUGGAGAGGCGAGUAGGGUAACUCCCCGAGGUGUAACUUUUAGAGUUCACUUCACCUCAAACCACCACAUGAGGGAGAACUCGACCAAUGCCAAGGAACGAUUAUAUUUUCUAAAUAAAAACACAAUUUAAGAGUAUAUAACUUUUUAAUAGCCUUGGUGGACUCGGUUUGGGAUAGCCCUCAGCCAAGGUAUCCCUGAUAACUGAGUAUGAGAAUAAUUUUUGGCAUGAGCCAAGUUUUAAGAAAUUCAUAAGCCAUGUUGAUUACUCGAUUUAAAUGAAUUGAAUUUUAUUUGGUUGAAAGAUGAUAAAUUAAAGUAUGAUGAUUUACUUUAUCUGUCUCCAUUUACUCGACUUUAGAUAUUUAAGAUAGUGUUUGUUUACUCACUGGGAUUAUAUAAUCUCACCACCCUCCUUUCCACCCAUUUCAGGCUCAGAAUAAACUAUAGAUAGUUGAUCGCAUCGAGGACAACCAUUGGAAUUGCAUUUUUCAAACUGUAGGUUCACAAUUCUCUUUCCUUUUGAAUAUUCGGGGGUCCCACUUGUUACUGUAAAUUAAAUUUCAUACUCUAGUUAUCUGUACUACUGUAUAUAGGAAUUUAUUUUGCUUUUAUGCUGUAAAAAAAAUUAUUUACGCAGUGUUUUUUAAAUAUUGUUUUAUAAGAUAAUAGAAUAUUUUACUUAAUAUUUCUUUUAUUUUUCUAUUAAAUCCAAAUAAGCAUAAUUUCGUUUUAAAUGAAGAUUUUAGACUCUUCAACUCAUUUUGAUUAUGAAUUAUGUGUUUUGUACUUGUAUAUUACAUUUUAGCCAGUUUCAAAAUUUUUGAAAAAAAUGACCAAAAUACUCAUGUUAGAUGAAAAUUAUUAUUUUAUUUGUUUUAAGUUGGAAACAGUUUAAAAUCUUUUAGAACGUGAUAAUUGGCAACAGUUACUCAUAGGGGAGAUGAUAAGCUGAUAUUAAAGCCUUGCAGGGUUCUAGUUGACAUUCCGGGUAAUGAGUGUAGAUCGGGGCAUCGCGACGAUUGUCACGGGCUCGAGGGGAGUUCCGGGUCGUGACAUUAUAAUUGAUUGUAAAAGUUCCGGGUCGUGACAUUUAAAUCAAGUUAUAAUUGAUUGUCACGGGCUCGAGGGGAGUUCCGGGUCGUGACAUCAUCUCAUUAAUGAUCUUAACUUGAUUUUUUUUACAUUUUUGGUUGAAACAGAUUAUAAUUGAUUGUUUACAUCGAGAAACGUGAUGCAAAAGCCAUCCAUUGGGAAGAAAAGUUCAGUUAUAGUCACUAAUGGCUUCGAAAGUCUUAUUACUUACUUUAAAUGGUUUUAUAAUCUCAUAAUAGAUUUUAAGUUGAUUUUUUUUACAUUUUUGGUUAAAACAAAUUAUAAUUGAAUGUUUGCCUCAAAAAACAUGAAGCAAAAGCCAUCAAUUGAAAAAAAAAUCUAUUUAUA
RNAcentral lists this long non-coding RNA (2704 nucleotides) under Theobroma cacao (cacao). Its description in RNAcentral is "long non-coding RNA (TCAC_LNC006421)". The record is from RNAcentral. Lineage: Eukaryota; Viridiplantae; Streptophyta; Magnoliopsida; Malvales; Malvaceae.